AAAUUUAUAAUCUGGCACCUUCGGUGUCCGAGUUGUAAUCUCUAGAAAUGUUUUCCGCGUUGGACCGCACACAAGUCUGUUGGAAUACAGCGGCAUAGUGGUGAGACCCCCGUAUAUGGUGCGGACGCCCAGCGCUUUGUGAUACAUUUUCGAAGAGUCGAGUUGUUUGGGAAUGCAGCUCAAAUUGGGUGGUAAAUUCCAUCUAAAGCUAAAUAUUGGCGAGAGACCGAUAGCGAACAAGUACCGUGAGGGAAAGAUGAAAAGCACUUUGGAAAGAGAGUUAACAGUACGUGAAAUUGUUGGAAGGGAAACGCUUGAAGUCAGACUUGCUUGCCGAGCAAUCGGUUUGCAGGCCAGCAUCAGUUUUCCGGGAUGGAUAAUGGUAGAGAGAAGGUAGCAGUUUCGGCUGUGUUAUAGCUCUCUGCUGGAUACAUCUUGGGGGACUGAGGAACGCAGUGUGCCUUUGGCGGGGGUUUCGACCUCUU
This 485-nucleotide ribosomal RNA is filed under the name Rhodotorula mucilaginosa. RNAcentral describes it as "eukaryotic LSU rRNA". It matches the Rfam family "Eukaryotic large subunit ribosomal RNA", at positions 111 to 611 of the family's 3401-position model. The record is from RNAcentral. Lineage: Eukaryota; Fungi; Basidiomycota; Microbotryomycetes; Sporidiobolales; Sporidiobolaceae.